This 468-nucleotide ribosomal RNA is filed under the name uncultured bacterium. RNAcentral's name for it is "partial 16S ribosomal RNA". It matches the Rfam family "Bacterial small subunit ribosomal RNA", at positions 28 to 507 of the family's 1533-position model. The record is from RNAcentral.
GACGAACGCUGGCGGCGUGCUUAACACAUGCAAGUCGAACGGAAAGGCCCUGCUUUUGUGGGGUGCUCGAGUGGCGAACGGGUGAGUAACACGUGAGUAACCUGCCCUUGACUUUGGGAUAACUUCAGGAAACUGGGGCUAAUACCGGAUAGGAGCUCCUGCUGCAUGGUGGGGGUUGGAAAGUUUCGGCGGUUGGGGUUGGACUCGCGGCUUAUCAGCUUGUUGGUGGGGUAGUGGCUUACCAAGGCUUUGACGGGUAGCCGGCCUGAGAGGGUGACCGGCGACAUUGGGACUGAGAUACGGCCCAGACGCCUACGGGAGGCAGCAGUGGGGAAUAUUGCACAAUGGGCGGAAGCCUGAUGCAGCAACGCCGCGUGCGGGAUGACGGCCUUCGGGGUGUAAACCGCUUUCGCCUGUGACGAAGCGUGAGUGACGGUAAUGGGUAAAGAAGCACCGGCUAACUACGUG